Molecule: long non-coding RNA, 882 nt
Organism: Nelumbo nucifera (sacred lotus)
Lineage: Eukaryota; Viridiplantae; Streptophyta; Magnoliopsida; Proteales; Nelumbonaceae
Source: RefSeq, a predicted model, not a curated record
UAGCUCCUCACUUAGGGGUAGCUCGGCACUUACGGGCAGUUCGGCAUAGGCAGCUCGCCACUUACAGGUAGCUCGCCUCCUAUUAGGCCACAAAGACCUGCUUCGGAUAGAAACACCUUGGCAUAUUACUGGUAGCUUGGUGAAAAGUAGCUCGGUAAAAAGUAGCUCGGUGCAAGGUAGCUCAUUGCAGAGUAGCUCGGCGUAUCGCAGGAAGAUUUCCUACCUCACAAUCGUACCUGCCAGAUCUGGAGACUGCACCCACGUCUCUGGCCAGGCGGCGUCAUGCUUGCUAACUCUGACAACGCCUCGUGUCUGACAGGGCCGUACCCUGCAACGGUUACCUGCCCUCACCAGCUCAGCCCUGGCAAGUAACGGCUGCGGCAGAGAAUGAGAGGCGGUUGCGCCAGAUCUGUCAGGACACCACUAUAUAAAAGCUCUGAGCCCCCAGAGGGGGGAGGAGAGAAAAAAUGGAGCUCCGUUGGGUAAACACCCCCGGGUCCUCUGAUUCAGUUCUCGUAGGUCCCUCAGUUCCUACCGUCCACAAAGAUUAGCAGAUCAUCUCUCGCAGGGAGGAUGGGACAUUCAGCUCCUGCCGUCAGCAAAGAGGAGCAUAUCAUCUCAUGCAGAGGGCAGUCGGGUUGCACUACACUAGGAGGCUCGCCACCAAGGCAGCGCACCUAGCAGCUCAUCAAAGUAGCUCACCACCAGGGAGCUUGUCACCAAGUAGCUCACCACCAGGGAGCUUGCUACCAAGUAGCUCACCACCAGGCAGUUCGCUACCAGGGAGCUCCAUCAUCCUCUGAGUCAAGCCACCUGGGAGCAGGUCAAAUGAUAAAGUACUUGGCCAAUAAUUAGUACAUCACAAAAAAAAAAAAAAAAAAA